RNAcentral lists this ribosomal RNA (472 nucleotides) under uncultured bacterium. RNAcentral's name for it is "partial 16S ribosomal RNA". It matches the Rfam family "Bacterial small subunit ribosomal RNA", at positions 28 to 507 of the family's 1533-position model. The record is from RNAcentral.
GACGAACGCUGGCGGCGUGCUUAACACAUACAAGUCGAACGCUGAAGCUUGGUGCUUGCACUGGGUGGAUGAGUGGCGAACGGGUGAGUAAUACGUGAGUAACCUGCCCUUGACUCUGGGAUAAGCCUGGGAAACUGGGUCUAAUACUGGAUAUGACAUGCCACUGCAUGGUGGUGUGUGGAAAGGGUUUUACUGGUUUUGGAUGGGCUCACGGCCUAUCAGCUUGUUGGUGGGGUAAUGGCCUACCAAGGCGACGACGGGUAGCCGGCCUGAGAGGGUGACCGGCCACACUGGGACUGAGACACGGCACAGACUACUACGGGAGGCAGCAGUGGGGAAUAUUGCACAAUGGGCGGAAGCCUGAUGCAGCGACGCAGCGUGAGGGAUGACGGCCUUCGGGUUGUAAACCUAUUUCAGCACGGAAGAAGCGAGAGUGACGGUACGUGCAGAAGAAGCGCCGGCUAACUACGUG